Molecule: transfer RNA, 66 nt
Filed under: marine eukaryotic metagenome
Rfam family: tRNA
About the family: Transfer RNA (tRNA) molecules are approximately 80 nucleotides in length.
Source: RNAcentral
GCUUGUAGCUGAUUGGAUAGCACUCGUCUGUUAAACGAGAGUAUGCGGGUUCGAAUCCCGCCUGGC